RNAcentral lists this ribosomal RNA (374 nucleotides) under uncultured organism. RNAcentral describes it as "bacterial SSU rRNA". It matches the Rfam family "Bacterial small subunit ribosomal RNA", at positions 526 to 896 of the family's 1533-position model. The record is from RNAcentral.
CGAGUGGCUCAAGCGUUAGUCCGGAAUUAUUGGGCGUAAAGGAUGUGUAGGUGGUUAUGUUAGUCGGGUGUCUAACCUUCCGGGCUUUACCUGGAUUCAGCAUUCGAAACGGUAUGACUAGAGUAUGUUAGGGGUAAGCGGAACUAAUAGUGUAGGGGUGAAAUCCGUUGAUAUUAUUGGGAACACCAAAAGCGAAGGCAGCUUACUGGGACAUUACUGACACUGAAACAUGAAAGCGUGGGUAGCGAAUGGGAUUAGAUACCCCAGUAGUCCACGCCCUAAACGAUGUUCUCUCGCUAUUGAAAGUAUCGACCCUUUCAGUGGCUUAGCUAACGCGGUAAGAGAACCGCCUGGGAAGUACGAUCGCAAGAUUA